UGAAUACGAGACGCUAAGGCGUCGAAGUAGUGUAUAUCAGACUUCCAAGAAAAGCUUGCACUGUCAUAGAUAAAAAAUGCCUGUACCAUAACCGACACAGGUGGGUAGGUAGAGUAUACUAAGGGGCGCGAGAUAACUCUCUCUAAGGAACUCGGCAAAAUAACUCCGUAACUUCGGGAGAAGGAGUGCCUUAUUUAUAAGGUUGCAAUAACAAGAUCCAAGCAACUGUUUAUCAAAAACACAGGUCUCCGCUAAGUCGUAAGACGAUGUAUGGGGGCUGACGCCUGCCCAGUGCCAGAAGGUUAAAGAAGUUGGUUAGCAAUUGCGAAGCUGAUAACUGAAGCCCUGGUGAACGGCGGCCGUAACGAUAACGGUCCUAAGGUAGCGAAAUUCCUUGUCGGGUAAGUUCCGACCCGCACGAAAGGCGUAAUGAUUUGGAUACUGUCUCGGAGAGGGGCUCGGUGAAAUAGACUUGUCUGUGAAGAUGCGGACUACCUGCACCAGGACAGAAAGACCCUAUGAAGCUUUACUGUAACUUGAAAUUGAAAUUGGACUUUAUUCGCGCAGCAUAGGUGGGAGGCGUUGAUUAUAAUCUUGCGGGAUUAUUGGAGCCAUCAGUGAGAUACCACUCUUGUAAUGUUAGAUUUCUAACUUUGAAUCAUUAUCUGGUCAAAGAACAGUUUCAGGCGGGCAGUUUGACUGGGGCGGUCGCCUCCUAAAUGGUAACGGAGGCGUACAAAGGUUUCCUCUGAACGGUUAGAAAUCGUAUCUAGAGUGUAAAGGCAUAAGGAAGCUUGACUGUGAGACCUACAAGUCGAGCAGGGACGAAAGUCGGUCUUAGUGAUCUGACGGUACUGAGUGGAAAGGCCGUCACUCAACGGAUAAAAGUUACUCUAGGAUAACAGGCUGAUCUCCCCCAAGAGUUCACAUCGACGGGGAGGUUUGGCACCUCGAUGUCGGCUCAUCGCAUCCUGGGGCGGUAGUACGUCCCAAGGGUUGGGCUGUUCGCCCAUGAAAGCGGUACGCGAGCUGGGUUCAGAACGUCGUGAGACAGUUCGGUCCAUAUCCGGUGUAGGCGUUAGAAUAUUGAGAGGAGCCUUCUUUAGUACGAGAGGACCGAGAAGGACAUACCUCUGGUGUACCAGUUAUCGUGCCAACGGUAAACGCUGGGUAGCUAUGUAUGGAGUGGAUAACCGCUGAAAGCAUCUAAGUGGGAAGCCCACCUCAAGAUAAGUAUUCU
This 1240-nucleotide ribosomal RNA is filed under the name metagenome. RNAcentral describes it as "bacterial LSU rRNA". It matches the Rfam family "Bacterial large subunit ribosomal RNA", at positions 1564 to 2814 of the family's 2925-position model. The record is from RNAcentral.